Molecule: long non-coding RNA, 936 nt
Organism: Solanum pennellii
Lineage: Eukaryota; Viridiplantae; Streptophyta; Magnoliopsida; Solanales; Solanaceae
Exons: 4
Source: RefSeq, a predicted model, not a curated record
AGAAAAGCCACUUUCUCUCAAAGAGCUCACAGGGAAGGUUAGUGUUUCAUCACUCAGAGAGCUCACCAGGAGAGGUUGCUCUUUGUUUCACUCAAAGAGAUUCGAAAAAGGUAAUGAAGAAGACAUCUGGAAAGCGUCGAAAGCAUACAAAUAAGAGGAAACAACAUGGUUCUCAAUCAGCUUCAUUUUCCCCCACCUUUCCUCCUCAACCCACUUCACUGGCAUCUGUCGCUCCUACUCAACAGGCUUCACUGCCACCGACUAAGUGUUCUCUGUCGACUUCAUUAUCCCCUGGAUUUCCUCCUCUGUCCACUUCACUGCCACCUUCUUUUUUUGGUAUACCACCACAUGGGCCAAUACAAAAUAACUCUACAGCUUCUCAUGGCAAGAAUACAAGCCUUCCUGAUAAUAUUGUUCCCGCACCUCGUAUAAAUUCUUCUUCGAGUGGUCAUAUAAGUCGAAAUGGUAGCUCUUCUUCUCUGCUUCAAUCGUCAACUCAAGCUGUAUCUCCAGCAUCAUCGACACCUAGAAUGUCGAGGUCAAAUAUUGGAGUCCCUGUAAUAUUACUGCACCUGCAUGUUCAAACACCAAAAAUGCUGGAGAAAUUAGAGAAUAUGAUGAUUUUUAUAGGCUAAUUAUCACCCUGAUGAGGAUGGGUUUGUGCCAUCAUAUCGUGCCUCGCGUAUGGUUGCGGAAUCUAUUACACCAUUCUUCGAUGAUGUUUGGGGUAGAUGAAAGAAUUUCCGUACAAUAUCAGGGAGCAAAUAUGGAAUCAAUUUAAGAUGAAGUGUGUAUAGCAGCUACGUUAUGAGAUCAAAAUAAAUGUUAUUUUUGAGAGGAAUGCUCAUAUUCGAGUUACUGAAAUGUUGUUUGAAGCUCGAAAAAGUAAUGAGAAGCCUGGUUGGCUACGAGAUGAAAUAUGGGUUAAAUUUUUUG